CAUUAAAGAGUUCUAUAACUCCCAAACCCAUGUGAACAUACCUAACGUUGCCUCGGCAGGUCGCACCUACCUUGUAGCACCCUACCCUGUAGGGCCUACCCGGGAGGUGCGGGUAAGCCUGCCGGCGGCCCACCAAACUCUGUUUGAUAUUGAAUUCUGAACCUAUAACUAAAUAAGUUAAAACUUUCAACAACGGAUCUCUUGGUUCUGGCAUCGAUGAAGAACGCAGCGAAAUGCGAUAAGUAAUGUGAAUUGCAGAAUUCAGUGAAUCAUCGAAUCUUUGAACGCAUAUUGCGCCCAUUAGUAUUCUAGUGGGCAGGACCGUUCGAGCGUCAUUUCAACCCUUAAGCCUUCGUUGCUUAGUGUUGGGAGCCUACGGCAACGUAGCUCCUCAAAGUUAGUGGCGGAGUUGGUUCACACUCUAGACGUAGUAAUUUUUUAUCUCGCCUAUUAGUUGGACUAAUCCCCUGCCGUAAAACCCCCAAUCUAUAUCAAGGUUGACCUCGAAUCGGUUCAGACAAACUCGCUAAAUUGAAGCAUCUUAGUCAGCGAAGGAAAAGAAACCAACAGGGAUUGCCCUAGUAACGGCGAGUGAAGCGGCAACAGCUCAAAUUUGAAAUC
This 621-nucleotide ribosomal RNA is filed under the name fungal endophyte. Its description in RNAcentral is "eukaryotic LSU rRNA". The stretch from base 182 to 335 matches the Rfam family "5.8S ribosomal RNA". The record is from RNAcentral. Lineage: Eukaryota; Fungi.